AGCUCCAAUAGCGUAUAUUAAAGUUGUUGCAGUUAAAAAGCUCGUAGUUGGAUCUAAGGAUUUGGACGGAUGGUACGCUUCAGGGUGUCACUGUCUGUCUGGCCUAUAUUUGUCGUGGAGGCCUUAAGUGCUCUUCACUGAGUGCUUUUGGUGCCCGACGCUAUUACUUUGAGAAAAUUAGAGUGCUUAAAGCAGGCAUAAUGCUUGUAUACUGUUGCAUGGAAUAAUAAAAUAGGAGUUCACUUCUAUUUUGUUGGUUUUCGGUUGUGAACUAAUGAUUAACAGGGACAGACGGGGGCAUUUGUAUGGAGGCGCUAGAGGUGAUAUUCUGUGACCGUCUCCAGACAAACUACUGCGAAAGCAUUUGCCAGGAAUGUUUUCACUAAUCAAGAACGAAAGU
Molecule: ribosomal RNA, 400 nt
Filed under: phytoplankton environmental sample
Lineage: Eukaryota
Description: partial small subunit ribosomal RNA
Rfam family: Eukaryotic small subunit ribosomal RNA
Source: RNAcentral